AGGGCGAUAGCUGGGUCAAAUGGUGGAUCCAUUCUCAGGAAUCUCCAUACUGCUUUCCAAAUUGGCCUCACCAAUUUGCAGACCCACCAGCAGU
Molecule: microRNA precursor, 94 nt
Filed under: Marmota monax (woodchuck)
Lineage: Eukaryota; Metazoa; Chordata; Mammalia; Rodentia; Sciuridae
Source: RNAcentral